CCCAGCUCUUUUGGGACUACAAUUUCCAUCAUCCCUGACUGGUCCUGUUAGCUAGGGAUGAUGGGAAUUGUAGUCCCAAAACAGCUGGA
Podarcis lilfordi (Lilford's wall lizard) is the source of this 89-nucleotide non-coding RNA. Lineage: Eukaryota; Metazoa; Chordata; Lepidosauria; Squamata; Lacertidae. The record is from the annotation of a GenBank genome assembly.